Molecule: long non-coding RNA, 2558 nt
Filed under: Medicago truncatula (barrel medic)
Lineage: Eukaryota; Viridiplantae; Streptophyta; Magnoliopsida; Fabales; Fabaceae
Description: long non-coding RNA (MTRU_LNC002370)
Source: RNAcentral
UUAUUAUAAAAAUUAUAAUGGAUAAAAAUACAAUUUAAAUGAAAUAAUAAGGGUAAAAUUGGAAGAAAAAGUGAGAAGCUAUAAGCUCAAACGCUAUUUGGAAUAGCUUCUGAAAAAUAGCUUAUAAGCUCGUGAAAUAAGCUAUAAGCUCAUGGUGAAAAAGUGUUACCAAACAGAGCUUUUUUUUGUCAAACAAACUUAUAAGCUAUAAGCUAAAAACUAAAAGCUCUUUUUUUGGUUUCCCAAACAGACCCUUAUUUGUUUUUUCAUGUUGGUUGUUAUAUUUAUAUAACUGACAGAUGUUGGUAGGAUGAAACAUGGUAUGGUAGGGAGGAGGGGCCUUGUAUAGUUCUGUACUCAAAGAGCGUGCAUUAAAUAAUCCUCCAAAACCUGACCAAAAGAAAAUGAAAAAAAAAAUAAUCCUCCAAAAUAAUGCUGUACGAGAGUUGGAGACUCAAUUGAAGCCAGGGGCGGAGCCCUUGAUGGGACCCGGAAAAAAAAAAAAAAAAAAUCAACGCAGGUGUAUUUGCGAUAUUUUAAACAAUUUUACUACGAUUUUAGUGUUCUAUAGAUCCAAAUCUUCACUCAUUAGUUUAGUGGCCCAUCUGAAAAAUUAAAAAAAAAAAUCUUUUAGGUCUGUUUUGAAAGGUUUUAAACAAUAUUCAACGGUUUAGAUUUUCAACGAUUCUAAAAGUGACAUAUGUGAUUUUUUUCAUGCUUAUAUUUGACUGGUUAGUGAAGGUUUACAAACCUUCUGAUUUUUGGGGGUUUCAAAUCUCUUUUAUAUUGUCUAUCAAUUGAAAAUUUCUCCAAUUAAGAGUUGUAUUAUAAAAAAAAAUCAUAAUUUAUAGCAUUAGUAAACUAUGUAAUUAAUUUUUUUAAAGCAUUCACAUGAACUUUUUAGUCAAACUUUGCAAUUCAACUUCAUGCUUAAUGCUUUUUACUACUUUAAUUUUAUGUUUAUAUAUUAUCGUUUAUAGUUUAUUUUAGCAACUCACCCUAAUUAUUUUUUCUGACCCCGUCACUGAUUGAAGCCUCUAGUUCACAUGCUUGAGAGCCUUCACAGGCUCAAUAGAAGUCUCCUUUGUUUAUGUAAUUAGACUAAGUUGUUUUGAGUUAUGUUUUCUUAGUUAUGUUUUCAUAUCAUAUAAUGAUCUUUGAAAUAUUUCUAUUGCAUAAAAACUAUAGGUGGAAAGUGGCUUGGAACAAGUUAGUAUUUUAAAGAACUUUAAAAAUCACUUUUAUUCUAUUUUGAUUCAAAUCAUUUUUUAUUAAGUGCAAUAUGAUUAGAAUCAUUUUUCCUUCUAUUAUAUUUAUCUCUGACCGCACAAUUCAAAUAAUUUUUUGUGAAGAACAAAAAGAUUUGAAUCAUUUUUCUUCUCAAACUUUUUGUUGUGGGAGUUUUCAAAUCAAAUCUAUGAUGAUUCGAAUCAUUCUUCAUCCAAUCAUUCUUCAUGUGCUUCGGUUGAUUCUUCAUGCAAAUUCAAAAUUCAUUUAUUCACAUAUGAUUCGAAUCAUAUGAGAUUUUUCAAUUAUUUAUGAGCUUUAAUAUGUUCUAAACUACUACGUCUCAAUUUUACACUCGCUCUCCCAAAACUUCUCUCUCUACAAACUCUUGUUUAAGGACUUUCACGAGAAUCAAUGUAACAAUUGUGUUCAUUCAAGAAUCUUAAUCGUGGAAUCAAGGUUCCAAAGUUAAGGAAGUGGAUCUUUCCUUCUUCAAAGGGAAAUUAAAGGAAGUUUCAAUCAUUAAAAGAUUCUUGAUGAAGAAUGCUCAUGAAAUGCUUGAAUAUUUGAAAACCAAAGAAAACACGGGUGCGGCGCUAUUGCCAUCUUCUUUCACAACCUCGGAUGGGGUGACGCGCACCACCAGCUUUCAAAGGCUAUAUCUUGGAUGUUGAAGUUUGAAUUAAAAGGGAAGAAGGAAAACAGAGUGGCAGUUAUACAUAUAACUUAGAUAAACUAUAAAUCAACAAUUUGCUGAAUUACUUUUGGUACUGUACGUACCUAAACCUUUUUUUUGGUUGAGGAAACAAGUGCAGCAGAUGGAACAGGUUGAUACAGAAGCAGCAACUCAAAGAUGGAUUGCACCGAAUGUGGGAGAACUGAAAUGAAAUGUGGAUGAGGCCAUUUGAAAUGAUAAGAAUGUUUUUGUGUAGGAAUGUGUGUCCGUGACAAAAAAGGAAAAUUUGUAUGUGCUUUAGUGUGAUAUCUGGGCUUAAAACAUGGGGUUUAAAGCAUGCUUUAAUUUAGUGUGGCUUAUGACAAGGGCUACUCCAAAGUGUCAAUUGAACUAGACUGCCACAUUAGUCCGGGAUCGUUUGGAGGGAAGAUUAGGUCAUAGAACAUAUAUAGUAGGGUAAUAUUUUACGUGCUAGUAGAUCAAUCUUGUAUUCUAUACCAAACUUUCGGAUAAAUUUUACACGGAGAUAAACCAAUAAUAUUGCAUAUCUUCUAUCUAGUAUGACAUUGUCUUGUACUAUUUCUUAAGUUUUUGAUUAUAUUCCUCCAUAUAUUAUUACUACCUUGAUGAAUGAAAUAAUUUAAUUAUAUUGCUG